This 933-nucleotide ribosomal RNA is filed under the name Clostridium sporogenes. RNAcentral's name for it is "bacterial SSU rRNA". It matches the Rfam family "Bacterial small subunit ribosomal RNA", at positions 54 to 1005 of the family's 1533-position model. The record is from RNAcentral. Lineage: Bacteria; Bacillati; Bacillota; Clostridia; Eubacteriales; Clostridiaceae.
CAUGCAGUCGAGCGAUGAAGCUUCCUUCGGGAAGUGGAUUAGCGGCGGACGGGUGAGUAACACGUGGGUAACCUGCCUCAAAGUGGGGGAUAGCCUUCCGAAAGGAAGAUUAAUACCGCAUAACAUAAGAGAAUCGCAUGAUUUUCUUAUCAAAGAUUUAUUGCUUUGAGAUGGACCCGCGGCGCAUUAGCUAGUUGGUAAGGUAACGGCUUACCAAGGCAACGAUGCGUAGCCGACCUGAGAGGGUGAUCGGCCACAUUGGAACUGAGACACGGUCCAGACUCCUACGGGAGGCAGCAGUGGGGAAUAUUGCGCAAUGGGGGAAACCCUGACGCAGCAACGCCGCGUGGGUGAUGAAGGUCUUCGGAUUGUAAAGCCCUGUUUUCUGGGACGAUAAUGACGGUACCAGAGGAGGAAGCCACGGCUAACUACGUGCCAGCAGCCGCGGUAAUACGUAGGUGGCGAGCGUUGUCCGGAUUUACUGGGCGUAAAGGGUGCGUAGGCGGAUGUUUAAGUGGGAUGUGAAAUCCCCGGGCUUAACCUGGGGGCUGCAUUCCAAACUGGAUAUCUAGAGUGCAGGAGAGGAAAGCGGAAUUCCUAGUGUAGCGGUGAAAUGCGUAGAGAUUAGGAAGAACACCAGUGGCGAAGGCGGCUUUCUGGACUGUAACUGACGCUGAGGCACGAAAGCGUGGGUAGCAAACAGGAUUAGAUACCCUGGUAGUCCACGCCGUAAACGAUGGAUACUAGGUGUAGGGGGUAUCAACUCCCCCUGUGCCGCAGUUAACACAAUAAGUAUCCCGCCUGGGGAGUACGGUCGCAAGAUUAAAACUCAAAGGAAUUGACGGGGGCCCGCACAAGCAGCGGAGCAUGUGGUUUAAUUCGAAGCAACGCGAGAACCUUACCUGGACUUGACAUCCCUUGCAUAGCCUAGAG